This 254-nucleotide ribosomal RNA is filed under the name uncultured prokaryote. RNAcentral describes it as "partial 16S ribosomal RNA". It matches the Rfam family "Bacterial small subunit ribosomal RNA", at positions 524 to 777 of the family's 1533-position model. The record is from RNAcentral.
UACGGAGGAUGCAAGCGUUAUCCGGAUUCAUUGGGUUUAAAGGGUGCGUAGGCGGAGAGAUAAGUCAGUGGUGAAAAACUGCCGCUCAACGGUAGUCUUGCCAUUGAUACUGUCUUUCUUGAGUAUGGAUGAGGUAGGCGGAAUGUGCAGUGUAGCGGUGAAAUGCAUAGAUAUUGCACGGAACACCAAUUGCGAAGGCAGCUUACUGGACCAUUACUGACGCUCAGGCACGAAAGCGUGGGGAUCAAACAGGA